This 253-nucleotide ribosomal RNA is filed under the name uncultured bacterium. RNAcentral's name for it is "partial 16S ribosomal RNA". It matches the Rfam family "Bacterial small subunit ribosomal RNA", at positions 524 to 776 of the family's 1533-position model. The record is from RNAcentral.
UACGUAGGGUGCGAGCGUUAAUCGGAAUUACUGGGCGUAAAGCGUGCGCAGGCGGUUUUGUAAGCCAGGUGUGAAAUCCCCGGGCUCAACCUGGGAAUGGCAUUUGGGACUGCAAGGCUGGAGUGCGGCAGAGGAGACUGGAAUUCCUGGUGUAGCAGCGAAAUGCGUAGAUAUCAGGAGGAAUACCGAUGGCGAAGGCAGGUCUCUGGGCCGUUACUGACGCUGAGGAGCGAAAGCGUGGGGAGCGAACAGG